UGUUAGCCCUGAUCGCAGCGGCAUCCUUUUCCUGAAUUUUUUAAUCAGGAAAAGAUAUAGAGAAGAGCAGGAAAUAGC
Molecule: small RNA, 78 nt
Filed under: Flavobacterium glycines
Lineage: Bacteria; Pseudomonadati; Bacteroidota; Flavobacteriia; Flavobacteriales; Flavobacteriaceae
Description: Flavo-1 RNA
Rfam family: Flavo-1 RNA
Source: RNAcentral